RNAcentral lists this Y RNA (95 nucleotides) under Microcebus murinus (gray mouse lemur). Its description in RNAcentral is "Y RNA (ENSMICG00000045753.1)". It matches the Rfam family "Y RNA". Rfam says of the family: Y RNAs are components of the Ro ribonucleoprotein particle (Ro RNP), in association with Ro60 and La proteins. The Y RNAs and Ro60 and La proteins are well conserved, but the function of the Ro RNP is not known. In humans the RNA component can be one of four small RNAs -- hY1, hY3, hY4 and hY5. The record is from RNAcentral. Lineage: Eukaryota; Metazoa; Chordata; Mammalia; Primates; Cheirogaleidae.
GGCUGGUCUGAUGGUAGUGGGUUAUCAGAGCUCAUUAACAUUAGUGUUACUAAAGUCGGUAUGCAACGCUCACUGCUAAAUUUCACUAGCUAAAA